Molecule: long non-coding RNA, 430 nt
Filed under: Homo sapiens (human)
Lineage: Eukaryota; Metazoa; Chordata; Mammalia; Primates; Hominidae
Description: non-protein coding lnc-MERTK-2:1
Source: RNAcentral
AUGGCAGCAGCCGCCAAGUUGUCACUACUAGAGAAGUCCCUGGGACUGAGUAAGGGGAAUAAUAAAUAAAGUGCUCAGGAUGAGUGACAGAUUCUGGUUCUUCAAACAAACAAUGGUCCAAGUCUAACAGGAUUGACUACUAUAGCAGCUCAUCUAGUCAAGCAAGCUAACAAAGGAUAUUUGCUAGGGAGUACUGCAGAAGAAAAAGCAAUAGUUCAGCAAUGGUUACAAUACAGAGUCACUCCAGUAACCUUUGCAGAUAUCCUAUUGUACUAUGGACUUCAUCGCUUUAUAGUUGACCUGACAGUUCAAGAAAAGAAGAAAUAUCUUAAUGCGUCUCGCUGGUUUUGUCACAUUCAGCAUUAUCCAGAUAUCAGGCAACAUCUGUCUAGUGUUGUCUUCAUCAAGAACAGACUAUACACUAAUUCCC